Molecule: ribosomal RNA, 236 nt
Filed under: uncultured Glomus
Lineage: Eukaryota; Fungi; Glomeromycota; Glomeromycetes; Glomerales; Glomeraceae
Description: partial small subunit ribosomal RNA
Rfam family: Eukaryotic small subunit ribosomal RNA
Source: RNAcentral
AAGCCCAUAGUUGAAUUUCGGGGUUAGUAGGUUGGUCAUGCCUCUGGUAUGUACUGGUCUCACUGAUUCCUCCUUCCUGAUGAGCCGUAAUGCCAUUAAUUUGGUGUUGCGGGGAAUUUGGACUGUUACUUUGAAAAAAUUAGAGUGUUUAAAGCAAGCUAACGCUUGAAUACAUUAGCAUGGAAUAAUGAAAUAGGACGUUCGAUCCUAUUUUGUUGGUUUCUAGGAUUGACGUA